RNAcentral lists this unclassified non-coding RNA (617 nucleotides) under Vincetoxicum biglandulosum. Its description in RNAcentral is "sequence contains ITS1, 5.8S rRNA gene, ITS2". The stretch from base 229 to 384 matches the Rfam family "5.8S ribosomal RNA". The record is from RNAcentral. Lineage: Eukaryota; Viridiplantae; Streptophyta; Magnoliopsida; Gentianales; Apocynaceae.
UCAAAUCCUUGUACCGAACGACCCGCGAACCGGUUCCGAAAGUCACGAGCGUCCCUUUUGCUCGGUGCGGGUCGGUGACAUCGUUGCCGGACGCGUCGAGCAUCGAAAACAAAAUCCGGCGCGGGAAGCGCCAAGGACUAGCGAAACGGAGGAUGGCCUUCCCGCGGCAUCCCGUCGUGCCGCGGGGACGAAAGGGUCUCCGAAUGAAAAAAAUGUUGUACCCAGUACGACUCUCGGCAACGGAUAUCUAGGCUCUCGCAUCGAUGAAGAACGUAGCAAACUGCGAUAGUUGGUGUGAAUUGCAGAAUCCCGUGAACCAUGGAGUCUUUGAACGCAAGUUGCGCCCGAAGCCGUUAGGCCGAGGGCACGUCUGCCUGGGCGUCACGCAUUGCGUCGUCCCCCCUCCGCCCGUGUCCCGAAAGGGUCGCGGGCCUUAUCGAGGGGGGCGGAAGUUGGCUUCCCGUGCAGCGCUUGCGGCUAGCCUGAAACAACGGUUCCCUCGGGGCGGACGUCGCGACAAGUGGUGGUCCGUCGAGAUCGUAGGCGAGUUGCCGGCAAGCUGCCUCGAGGAGAGCAUUCGGACCCUGUGCGAGACUAGUCCCUUCGGCGAGGGGCAG